Peromyscus eremicus (cactus mouse) is the source of this 250-nucleotide long non-coding RNA. RefSeq lists it as uncharacterized. The transcript has 3 exons. The record is from RefSeq and is a predicted model, not a curated record. NCBI's taxonomy places the organism in Eukaryota, Metazoa, Chordata, Mammalia, Rodentia, Cricetidae.
GUGGAAGGCUGAGUGAGAGAGACACUGCCAACCGCCGCCAUGACAAGCAGCAUGUGAAGAUGCCUGUAAGCCAUGAGACAUGUGGCAAGCUGACUCCAUGUGAAUUGUAAUCACAAUUUGUUUUCAUCCUCGAAUGAAAGUUAAGAAAUUCCCCAGUGAACUCCAAUAAUAUCCAAGCAAGUGGGAAGAAGUUAUUUACUGCUGGAACAAACAUUGGAGACUUCCUUCUGAACUGUGGGGUACAUAAAGG